RNAcentral lists this long non-coding RNA (4719 nucleotides) under Actinidia chinensis (golden kiwifruit). Its description in RNAcentral is "long non-coding RNA (ACHI_LNC000050)". Lineage: Eukaryota; Viridiplantae; Streptophyta; Magnoliopsida; Ericales; Actinidiaceae. The record is from RNAcentral.
UAUUUCAAGCUCAAGUUAUUAGGGUAUUAGUAGUUAUGGCCGUAUGUUGUACUUUGUCUUUUUCAAAUUAUGCUAAUUUGAAUUUUUGAGUAAUGAGUUGUGACUAUUUUGCAUUUAUUUUGUUUAGUGAGGACUAUUGCUAUUGACUAUCGGACUCAAGUGGGUGUACCGUGCUAAUAGCGAUGCCUAGGCCCAAGUACUCUCAAAUCCAUAUCUCCGCGCCUUUGAAUGUUGUGGUACGUAACUGUGGCUUUAAAUUUUGUAUAUUUAUCUUGGGCCUUAAUUAACCUGAACUUGAAGUUCCCCGGGUUCAAUUUCAAGCUCAAGUUAAUUAGGUAUUAUUAGACAAGGCCUUAUGUUUUAAAUACGCUUUGGCCCUUUGUCAAAAUUAGCUGAUUUGAGUUUUUUGUGUAAUAUGUAGUGACUGUUUUUGCAUUUGGUCUGUUUUGCGAGGACUUUGCUAUUGACUAUACCCGUAUUCAACUUCAAGUCGGUAUUUAGGUACUUGUUUUUGUUGUUAUUAUUUUAUGUUGUUUUUUUAUUUAUAGCAUGAUUUUAAUGUUUGAGUACGAGUGAGUGACUGCCUUUGCUUUUUUGUUUUGUCGAGGACUAAUACUGUUGACUAUCGGGUUUAAAUUUCAUCAGCUCAAGUGUAUUAGGGUAAUUAUUAGUUAUUUCCGUAUGCUUUACUUUGUCUUUUUCAAAUAUGCUAAUUUGAAUUUUUGAGUAAUGAUUUGGCUGACUAUUUUCAUUGAUUUUUUGUUUAGUGAGGACUAUUGCUAUUGACUAUCCGGACUCAAGUUGGUGUUACCGUGGUAAAGCGAUGCCUGGCCCAAUACUCUCAACCAUAUCCCACCCUUUGAAUGUUGUGGUCGUAACUGAUGGCUUAAAUUUGUUGUCAUUUAUUCUUGGGCCUUAAUUAACCCUAACGUGAAUUUCCCCGGUUCAAUUUCAAGCGUCAUGUUAAUUAGGAAUUAUUAGACAAGGCCCUUUAUUUAAACUUUGUCCUUUUUACAAGUUAUCUGAUUUGAGUUUUGUUGUGUAAUAUGUAUGACUGUUUUUGCUUUGUUUUCGUUUUCGAGGAACUAUUCUCUUGACUACCGGAUUCAACUUCAGCUCGAGUUAUUUUAGGUACUUUUUGUUAGUACUUUAUGUUGUUUUUUUAUCUACAAGCAUGAUUUUAAAAUGUUUUGAGUAACGAGUAGUGACAGCUUUUUGCAUUUUGUUUUGUUUUGGCGAGGACUAAUACUGUUGACUAUCGGUUGUUAAUUUCAAGCUCGAAGUUAUUAGGGUAUUAUUAGUUAUGGCCGUUAUGUUGACUUGUCUUUUUCAAAUAUGCUAAUUGAUUUUUGAGUAAUGAGUUUGACAUUUUGCAUUAUUUUUGUUUAGUGAGGACUAUUGCUAUGGACUAUCGGGGACUGGAAUCAAGUGGGUGUACGUACUAAAUAGCGAUGCCUAGGCCCAAGUUCUCAAAUCCAUAUCUCCGCGCCUUUGAAUGUUUGUGGUACGUAACUGUUGACUUUAAAUUUUGUAAUUACUUGGGCCGUAAGUUACACCUGAACUGGAAGUCCCGGGUUCAAUUUCAAGCUCAAGUUAAUAGUAUUAUUAGACAGGACUUUAUGUUGUACUUGUAUUUUAAAAUUAUGACUGAUUUGAGUUUUUGUCUGUAGUAAGAUGUAGUGAACGUUUUUGCAUUGUCGUUUGCGAGGACUAUGCCCUAUUGACUACCGGAUUCAACUUAAAGUGCGAGUUAUUUAGGUUAACUUUUUGUUAGUACUUUAUGUGUGUUUUUAUUUAGAGACAUGAUUUAUGUUUGAGUAACGAGUAGUGACUGCUUGCAUUUUUUUGUUUUGCGUGAGGACUAAUUCUGUUGAAUAGUCGGGGUUUAAUUCAAGUCAAGUUAUUAGGGAUUAGUAGUUAUGGCCGCAUGUGUACUUGUCUUUUUCAAAUUAUGCCUAAUUGAAUUUUUGAGAGUAAUAGUGUGACUGUAUUUUGCCUUAUUUUGUUUAGUGAGGACUAAUGCUAUUGACUAUCGGAUCAAGUGGGUUUGUACCGUGCUAAUAGCGAUGCCUAAGGCCCAAAGUACUCUCAAAUCCAUAUACUCCGCGCCUUUGAAUGUUGUGGGGAGUACGUAAUGUGCUUUAAAUUUUGUUAUAUUAUCUUUGGCCUUAAUAACCUUGAACUGGAAGUUCCCGGGUUAAUUCAAGCUCAAGUUAUUAGGUAUAUUAGACAGGCCUUAUGUUGUGUACUUGUCUUUUUAAAAUUAUGCUGAUUUGAGUUUUUGUGUAAUAUGUAGUGACUGUUUUGCAUUUGUUCUGUUUUGCGAGGACUAUUGCUAUUGACUACCGGAUUCAACUUCAAGCUCGAGUUAUUUAGGUACUUUUUGUUAGUACUUUAUGUUGUUUUUUAUUUAUAGCAUGAUUUUAAUGUUUGAGUAACGAGUAGUGACUGCUUUGCAUUUUUUUUGUUUUGCGAGGACUAAUACUGUUGACUAUCGGGUUUAAUUUCAAGCUCAAGUUAUUAGGGUAUUAGUAGUUAUGGCCGUAUGCUGUACUUUGUCUUUUCCAAUAGCUAUUUGAAUUUUUGAGUAAUGAGUUGUGACUAUUUUGCAUUAUUUUGUUUUAGUGAGGACUAUUGCCUAUUGAUAUCGACUCAAGUGGGUGUACCGUGGUAAUAGCGCUGCCUAGGACCAAGUACUCUCAAACCAUAUCUCCACGCCUUAAUGUUGUGGUACUUAACUGUGGCUUUAAAUUUUGCUAUAUUUAUCUUGGGCCUUAAUUAACCUGAAACUUGAAGUCCACGGGUUCAAUUCAAGCUCAUUUAAUUAGGUAUAGUGACACGGGCCUUAUUAUUAAAAUUUGUCUUUAAAAUUAUGCUGAUUUGAGAUUUGGUUAAUAUGUAGUGACUGUUUUGCAUUUGUUCUGUUUUGCGAGGACUAUUGCUAUUGACUACCGGAUUCAACUUCAAGCUCGAGCUAUUUAGGUACUUUUUGUUAGUACUUUAUGUUGUUUUUUAUUUAUAGCAUGAUUUUAAUGUUUGAGUAACGUGUAGUGACUGCUUUGCAUUUUUUGUUUUGUUUUGCGAGGACUAAUACUGUUGACUAUCGGGUUUAAUUUCAAGCUCAAGUUAUUAGGGUAUUAGUAGUUAUGGCCGUAUGUGUACUUUGUCUUUUUCAAAUUACAGCUAUGUUGAAUUUGUGAGUACUGAGUUGCUGACUAUUUGCAUUGAUUUUGUUAUUUGAGGACUAUUGCUAUGACUAUCGGACCUCAAGUGGGUGUGUACCGUGCUAAUAGCGAUGCCUAGGCCAAAGUACUUCUCAAACCCAUAUCUCAAAGGCAUUUGAAUGUUGUUUUUACGAAACUGUGGCUUAAUUUUGUAUAUUUAUCUUGGGCCUUAAUUAACCUGAACUUGAAGUUUCCCGGGUUCAAUUUCAAGCUCAAGUUAAUUAGGAAUUAUUAGACAAGGCCUUAUGUUAAACUUUGUCUUUUUAAAAUUAUGCUGAUUUGAGUUUUUGUGUAAGAUGUAGUGACUGUUUUGCAUUUGUUCUGUUUUACGAGGACUAUUGCUAUUGACUACCGGAUUCAACUUAAAGUUCGAGUUAUUUAGGUACUUUUUGUUAGACUUGAUGUUGGUUUUAUUUACAGAAUGAUUUUAAUGUUGAGUAACGAGUAGUGAUGUUGCAUUUUUUUUUUUUGUUUUGCGAGGACUAGUUCUGUUGACUAUCGGGUUUAAUUCAAGCUCAAGUUUUAGGGUAUUAGUAGUUAUGGCCGUAUUAGGUUGUACUUUGUCCUUUUUCAAAUUACGCUAAUUUGGGAAUUUUGAGUAUGAGUUGUGACUAUUUUGCAGUUAUUUUGUUAGUGAGGACUAUUGCUAUGAACUAUCGGACUCAAGGGUGCUUGUACCGUGCUAAUAGCGAUGCCUGGGCCCAAGUAUUCGCAAAUCAAUAUUCUCCGCGCCUUUGAAUGUUUGUGGACGUAAAUGUUGCUUUAAAUUUUGGAUAUUUAUCUGGUCCUAAUUAACCUGAACUUGAAGUUCCCGGGUUGUUCAAUUUCAAGCUCAAGUUAUUAGGUAUUAUUAGACAGGCCUUAUGUUGUACUUUGUCGGUUUUAAAAAUUAUGCUGAUUUGAGUUUUUGUGUAAUAUGUAUGUGUGACGGGUUUGAUUUUGUCUGUUUUGCGAGACUAUGCUAGACUACCGGAUUCAACUAAAGCUCGCGAUUUAGGUACUUUUUGUUAGUACUUUAUGUGUUUUUUAUUUAUUGCAAUGAUUUUAAUGUUUGAGUAACGAGUUAGUAGUGACUGCGUUUGCAUUUUUUUUGUUUUGCGGAGGAGGACUUAAUAAUGUUGACUAUCGGGUUUAAUUUCAAGCCUCAAGUUAUUAGGGUAUAGUAGUUAUGGUCCGUAUUGCUGUACUUGUCUUUUUAAAAUUAUGGCUAAUUUGAAUUUUGAGUAAUAGUAAUGAGUUGUGGACGAUUUUGCAUUAUUUUGUUUAGUGAGGACUAUUGCUAUUGACUAUCGGACUCUCAAGUCGGGGUGUACCGUGGUAAUAGCGAUGCCUAGCCCAAGUACUCUCAAACAUAUCUCCACGCCUUUGAAUGUUGUCGGUACUUAACUGUGGCUUAAAUUUUGUAUAUUUAUCUUGGUAGCUUAAUUAACUGAACUUGAAGUUCCCGGGUUCACUUUCAAGAUCAUGUAAUUGAGGUAUUAUUAGACAAGGCCUA